This 309-nucleotide ribosomal RNA is filed under the name uncultured bacterium. Its description in RNAcentral is "partial 16S ribosomal RNA". It matches the Rfam family "Bacterial small subunit ribosomal RNA", at positions 1 to 334 of the family's 1533-position model. The record is from RNAcentral.
CUGUACAGUUCAGAGUUUGAUCCUGGCUCAGAACGAACGCUGGCGGCAUGCCUAACACAUGCAAGUCGAACGAAGGCUUCGGCCUUAGUGGCGCACGGGUGCGAAACACGUGGGAAUCUGCCCCUUGGUUCGGAAUAACAGAGAGAAAUUUCUGCUAAUACCGGAUAAAGACUUCGGUCCAAAGAUUUAUCGCCGAGGGAUGAGCCCGCGUAGGGUUAGGUAGUUGGUGGGGUAAUGGCUCACCAAGCCGACGAUCCUUAGCUGGUCUGAGAGGAUGAUCAGCCACACUGGGACUGAGACACGGCCCAG